AAGGAAAUGCCAGCCUGGAUUCCUUCAGCAAGGAUGUCCUUCCAGCUUCUGGCCAGAGUCUGUGUAGCAGCCUGGGGUCCCAGUGGGUUAGACCGGAAGUGUGGUGGGAUGGACCUGUAAGCUCUGGUGCCUCGCCAGACCGGCUCCCCUGGGCGACAUGCAUGUCUCGGGGGGUCCUCCAGCAGGAUUGGUGUGCAAGCCUGAGCCCUGGGCGCCCAUUGCUCCUGGAUCAGGCUCUGCCUCCCGCUGAAGCCUGAUCUCCGGCGAGCUCCGGGCACGAGAGUCAGCAGGUCGCGGGAGGAAACCUGUAGCCACCCCAGCCUGACGCCCUGAUGGGGAUGAAGACGAGGAUGAGGAAGGAGAUUAGUCAUUGGAUUUAGUGCCCCUCCUAAAUCCGGGAAGACUUCAUCUCGAGAUCCUUGACUAAGUCCAUCGGCAAAGACCCUCCUUCCCAGUGGGGAAACUGAGGCCCAGAGCACACGGCUGCCAGAGGCGGAGGCGUGUGCUUGCUGGGGCCUUGGUACUGCUGACAUGGGGCGGCAUGUCCCUCGGGCUGCCUGCCCUCCAGCAUCCGUGGGACUUACUGCUCAGCCCCCGGGCGUUGCCCUACGAAUGAAGACACGCCGCACCCCAGCCCAGCACUUGGGGGAUGGUGGAAGACUUCCGAGGGGACGGUCUUGGGCCAUUACCUCAGCGAUGGGUGAGAUGUGCGUCCCACAGACGGACCUACAGAGGGUUUUUCUGUCACUGUCUCAUGGGACGACCUUCCAUCAAUGCGGUCCAGGUGCUCUUCUGAGCUUUGUACAGACCCUCCUCACCCUGCUCCACAGCCUGUGACUCAGGUGCCAUUUCUGUUCUCGGUGGAUGUGGGGAGACUGAGGCACAAAGACUCUUGGUGACUUACCCAGGGACCUGCAGGGCCAGGACCUGCAUUCAGGCCCCCGCCUCGCUCCCGACCCCCACUGUGAGCUCGUUGGCCCCCCCGGCGCACACCCACCCCCACACUGACCAUGGCAGGUGCUGGUGGACCCCGCCUCUGGGGCCUCAAGCCGCUCCUGAAGCAUGACCAGUGGCCCCAGUCCUGCAGAUCCACCACUCCCGCGCCUUGUGCUCCAGGACAGGUUACUUAGCCUCUCUGGGCCUCAGACGCCUGGCUUCUAAAAUCAGAAUCUAUGCACCAACACGCUUGGCCCAUGGGAAGUAAUUGGCGGAUGCUGCCCUCCCGCCGCCAGUUCCAAUGAACUGUGGUGUAUGAUGCACGGGGGGAGCUUGCCUUCAGCCUCGGGGGUGAGUCCGAGGAGAAGCGGGGUCCACCAGAGCUGACCAUAGGCCUCUUUCGUCCCGUCCCUCACAGACUCCUACUGGGCCAGGGCCCGUGCAUUUGGAGAGACUCCUGGCCGCCGCCCUCUUUCUCAGCUCCUGAGAAUCCCCAGGGACAGUUUCUGGCUCGUUGUAUGCCUCUCCUCAGUCCAGCCCUCCUUUCCUCUGCCCUGCCCGCUGGAGUGCCCAAAGUGGGCUCUGGCCCCUGCAGACUGAUGGGGAAUCCCUCUUCCCAGGGCCCAUGCGGGCCACUUACUUUCCAGGGCCUUCCCUGGUGCACAUCAGAUGACCAAGUACCAUAAGCCUCCAAGGAGUUGAGGGCUCACUUCUCAGCCAUACUGCUUCCCAGUAAGAGGGGUGGUGCCUGCACUGGUCAGAGCUGGUCACUGCCCCACUCCCUGUCCCCAUAGUGCUUUAUGUAUGUACACAGGAGGGGAGCAGUGGGGCUCGGGGCAGGCCCCCCUGCCUGUGCCUACCUGCCUUGGGGGUCGGGUGGGUCACUGUCACUCUGGGAGCCCCGGUCUCAGCGGAUGUCAGUGGAGUUGAUAAUCAUCCCAGCCCCGUCCCAGCUUCGCAGGGUUGGGGAGGAUGGAUGCACGUGAAAGGCAAGGCAGAGAGGCCUGGCAGAGAGGAGGGCGCCCCAGGCCUACCCCACCCCUUGCCGGGUUCUUUAGCCACAUGCUUGGGGUCACAGCCAGCUGACCCCCCCUUGCUGCGGGUGGAACCUUGGCGAGCCCCUCUGCCUUUUUGUGCCGUGCCUCUGUUUCUUCUUCCGGGAGAAGGAGGUGAUGAUGAAGCCCAUCCCCCAGGCAACGCAGGGGCCAGCAGGUGACACUGCAAAGCGCCCCGGGGCAGAGGACGCUGGGGAAGCCUCACCAGCUCCAGACACCCUGCGGUGUCGUUGACCCGCCUGCCCCCAUCACUACGGCUGAGCUCCCCACGGCCGGUCCCUUGUUCUGGUCAUCCCCUGGACCCCAACACCACACUAGAUGCUCCAGGGACCAGGAUGCCCCAGUUGUCGCUGCCCUACCCGCCCCCCCGGCCUGCACUCUGGCACCCUGAAGCUCUGUGUCCACAUCCUCACCUGUCCCCCACACUGCCUUCCCCCAGGUCAUUACCCACGCUGGUGCCUCCACCGGGAGCCCUCUCCCGCUCUCUCCACCUGUUCACCCUUCCAGGCAUUGAUUUGUUCCCUGCCGUCUCCCUGGGGCCUCGAGCCAGGCGCGUGAUAGGUGCUCCGUGAACACCCGGUGAAUGGAAGAGGGACACCAGCUGGCCGCAUGGCAUCAGCCAUGCCAUGUCUAUGACGGGGAGCGACCAGCGCCAUCCUGGUCUCUGCCCGGUUCCGGCCUCCUGCUUGGCGAGCCUCUCACAUCAGGGCUUUGGCUGGCCCACGCCGUGGUGCUUCAGGGCAAAGACCUGCCUCCACCAAGAAGUGGCCACAGCCGCCACCCCCGCUGCACUUUAAGAUGUCCCAUCCACAGAACAGCCACCGCCUUCCGCCCUGUCUCCCUCCCUCUGCGCAGCGGAGCGGCCAGACCACUGUCUCACUGUGCGGCCUUUUCUUCCUUUUCCAUCAGGACACAUUUCCCUUCGGCCUCCGGAUCACACUUCUUUUUUUAUUUUUAUUUUUAUUUUUUUUUUUAAAGAUUUUAUUUAUUUAUUUGAGACAGAGAGAAUGAGAGACAGAGAGCAUGAGAGGGAGGAGGGUCAGAGGGAGAAGCAGACUCCCUGCCGAGCAGGGAGCCCGAUGCGGGACUCGAUCCCGGGACUCCAGGAUCAUGACCUGAGCCGAAGGCAGUCGCUUAACCAACUGAGCCACCCAGGCGCCCCGGAUCACACUUCUGCUCCUGGCCCGAAUGAACAUCCUGAGCAGCCCUCCCUGCCGCUUUGCUCCUUCCCCUUGACAACCUGGUAACGAGAUCGCUGUGCUUGAUCUUUCUCCUGCAAGCCGCCACUUCCAACCCCUUGUCAUUUGCUGAAAGUCAUUAGGAGACUCCUCUGCGAGGCACCGCAGCGCCCCCCUGCACCUGGCAGCUUCCCUACCCCCACCCUGCAGCUUAGCCCUGCCCCAGCAGCUUUCCCCCAACAUCUGACAGCACCCCCCCAGCUCCCCCCACACCUAGCAGCCCCCCCUUCCUAACCUGGCAGCUUUCCCCCUCCACCUGACAGGUUCCCCACCCCCCAGCCCUGCAGCUUCCUCUCCUCACCUGGCAGCCCCCCUGCACCUGGCAGCUCUCCCUACAUCUGGCAGGCCCCCUCCCCCCCGACCGGCAGUUUCCCCACCCCCCACCAAGCAGGUGCAGACUUCUUAGUUUUGCUGGAGGCCAGGCCAGGGGCACAGUGCAGGGGAGAGGCUCCCCUCUGUAGAGUCUGGCACCCUAACGGCCUGUGCCCUCAGUCUCCUCCUGCUGGCUCCCCCAGCAUCCCCGAGAGCAUCGCUCAUGGAUUCCUUGACGGUCUCUGAAUCGGGCCCAUGCAGACAAUUGCACAAGCUGAGCUUUGUCACAUUUAUAAAGAUAAAUUAAAAUAUUAUCACUAGAAACCUUCAAUAAUUUAAAAAAGCCUGAGACUUUUAAUGAGUAAGUGGUCUGAUUAAAAGUUGGAGAGAAAUAUUUCUCCUCCUUUUUGGGUGGGGAACAUUGCUGUGGGAUGAGGAAGCCAGUCUGGAUCUUGAAGCUAAAAGGCUUGGACUGGGGCUCAGUGGGACCCCCACUCACCUCUCAGGGAAAGCUCCGUUUCGUGGGUCCAACCAUGUGCCAGGCACUUGGCAUCUAGUCUUUCAAGGAUCCUUAUAAAAAGCCGUGUGGGGUCAGUGGCUCAUGCUUGCUGCUCAUGGAACUGCCCAGCAAGUUUGGGGGAGGUCAAGAGGUCAUUGGCAUU
Molecule: long non-coding RNA, 4203 nt
Organism: Mirounga angustirostris (Northern elephant seal)
Lineage: Eukaryota; Metazoa; Chordata; Mammalia; Carnivora; Phocidae
Exons: 4
Source: RefSeq, a predicted model, not a curated record